UACGUAGGGGCCGAGCGUUGUCCGGAAUUACUGGGCGUAAAGCGCGCGCAGGCGGCUGGUCAAGCCCGACGUGAAAGCCCCCGGCUCAACCGGGGAGGGUCGUCGGGGACUGAUCGGCUUGAGGGCGGUAGGGGCCGGUGGAAUUCCCGGUGUAGUGGUGAAAUGCGUAGAGAUCGGGAGGAACACCAGUAGCGAAGGCGGCCGGCUGGGCCGACCCUGACGCUGAGGCGCGAAGGCGUGGGGAGCGAACAGG
RNAcentral lists this ribosomal RNA (253 nucleotides) under uncultured bacterium. RNAcentral's name for it is "partial 16S ribosomal RNA". It matches the Rfam family "Bacterial small subunit ribosomal RNA", at positions 524 to 776 of the family's 1533-position model. The record is from RNAcentral.